This 738-nucleotide ribosomal RNA is filed under the name uncultured bacterium. Its description in RNAcentral is "bacterial SSU rRNA". It matches the Rfam family "Bacterial small subunit ribosomal RNA", at positions 26 to 812 of the family's 1533-position model. The record is from RNAcentral.
AGAACGAACGCUGGCGGCAGGCUUAACACAUGCAAGUCGAACGCCCCGCAAGGGGAGUGGCAGACGGGUGAGUAACACGUGGGAACGUACCCUUUACUACGGAAUAACGCAUGGAAACGUGUGCUAAUACCGUAUGUGCCCUUUGGGGGAAAGAUUUAUCGGUAAAGGAUCGGCCCGCGUUGGAUUAGCUAGUUGGUGGGGUAAAGGCCUACCAAGGCGACGAUCCAUAGCUGGUCUGAGAGGAUGAUCAGCCACAUUGGGACUGAGACACGGCCCAAACUCCUACGGGAGGCAGCAGUGGGGAAUAUUGGACAAUGGGCGCAAGCCUGAUCCAGCCAUGCCGCGUGGGUGAUGAAGGUCUUAGGAUUGUAAAGCUCUUUCACCGGUGAAGAUAAUGACGGUAACCGGAGAAGAAGCCCCGGCCAACUUCGUGCCAGCAGCCGCGGUAAUACGAAGGGGGCUAGCGUUAUUCGGAUUUACUGGGUUUAAAGGGUGCGUAGGCGGAUUAAUAAGUCAGUGGUGAAAACCUUCAGCUUAACUGGAGAACUGCCAUUGAUACUGUUAGUCUUGAGUACGGUCAAGGUAGGCGGAGUGUGUAAUGUAGCGGUGAAAUGCUUAGAUAUUACACAGAACACCGAUUGCGAAGGCAGCUUACUGGGCCAUUACUGACGCUGAUGCACGAAAGCGUGGGGAGCGAACAGGAUUAGAUACCCUGGUAGUCCACGCCGUAAACGAUGA